AGCAGCCGCGGUAAUUCCAGCUCCAAUAGCGUAUAUUAAAGUUGUUGCAGUUAAAAAGCUCGUAGUUGAACCUUGGGCCUGGCUGGCCGGUCCGCCUCACCGCGUGUACUGGUCCGGCCGGGCCUUUCCUUCUGGGGAACCUCAUGCCCUUCACUGGGCGUGUUGGGGAACCAGGACUUUUACUUUGAAAAAAUUAGAGUGUUCAAAGCAGGCCUUUGCUCGAAUACAUUAGCAUGGAAUAAUAGAAUAGGACGUGUGGUUCUAUUUUGUUGGUUUCUAGGACCGCCGUAAUGAUUAAUAGGGAUAGUCGGGGGCAUCAGUAUUCAAUCGUCAGAGGUGAGAUUCUUGGAUUGAUUGAAGACUAACUACUGCGAAAGCAUUUGCCAAGGAUGUUUUCAUUAAUCAGUGAACGAAAGUUAGGGGAUCGAAGACGAUCAGAUACCGUCGUAGUCUUAACCAUAAACUAUGCCGACUAGGGAUCGGACGGUGUUAGUAUUUUGACCCGUUCG
Molecule: ribosomal RNA, 509 nt
Filed under: uncultured Ascomycota
Lineage: Eukaryota; Fungi; Ascomycota
Description: SSU rRNA
Rfam family: Eukaryotic small subunit ribosomal RNA
Source: RNAcentral